Molecule: ribosomal RNA, 564 nt
Filed under: Triticum aestivum (bread wheat)
Lineage: Eukaryota; Viridiplantae; Streptophyta; Magnoliopsida; Poales; Poaceae
Description: partial small subunit ribosomal RNA
Source: RNAcentral
AUGAUCAGCGCCACUAGCUUUUCUACCUGUGUGCCUGAAUACGAUGUUCCUGCUGUUGACGAAGCAGUGGAUACAUCAUGGAAGAGGGAACCGCCUUGGAAGGCACUUUUCCCAUCCACAGCACAACAAAGGCAUCCAACUAUAUGCUCCGAUGGCUCUUGUGAUGCUACUGUAGCGCUGCUUCAGUCAACUAAAGAUGUUGCCACAAAGAGAGUGUCACACAUACUGCAAAAGUUAAUAUGUCAUUUGAGUUUUAUGCAUAGACUUGUCAUCGUUGCCGUGUCUGCCCUAGGUGGGAACUACGUGCAGUUUGGUGUGUUUGAGCUUUAUGGUGACAGAGCACUUGUGGAUGCGCUUGAUAUAUCUUUAAAGACGACCCUGUCAAUACCAUUGUCUGCUCCUCCAUUUCUUCUCUCCAGGAGAUUUGAUGGCACUAUGCAGGUGGCAGCAUUGUCAUUCAUCAUGGUGUACAUGAGGGCUGUUGAUACGCCGGAUAACUGCUGGUGGAACUUCAGGAUCCCUGAAGCAUCACUCCACCAGCCGGUCAUGCCCCUGAAGAAGUGA